Molecule: ribosomal RNA, 398 nt
Filed under: uncultured Thalassiosiraceae
Lineage: Eukaryota; Bacillariophyta; Thalassiosirophyceae; Thalassiosirales; Thalassiosiraceae
Description: partial small subunit ribosomal RNA
Rfam family: Eukaryotic small subunit ribosomal RNA
Source: RNAcentral
GCUUGUCCAAAGAUUAAGCCAUGCAUGUCUAAGUAUAACUCUUUUACUUUGAAAACUGCGAACGGCUCAUUAUAUCAGUUAUAGUUUCUUUGAUAGUCCCUUACUACUUGGAUACCCGUAGUAAUUCUAGAGCUAAUACAUGCAUCAAUACCCAACUGUUCGCGGAAGGGUAGUAUUUAUUAGGUAUAGACCAACCCUCCUCGGAGGUGCUUUGGUGAUUCAUAAUAACCGAACGAACCGUAUGCGCAAGCGACGGUGGUUCAUUCAAGUUUCUGCCCUAUCAGCUUUCGAUGGUAGGGUAUUGGCCUACCAUGGCGUUAACGGGUAACGGAGAAUUAGGGUUCGAUUCCGGAGAGGGAGCCUGAGAGAUGGCUACCACAUCCAAGGAAGGCAGCAGG